GUUAUACGUCAAACGGCAAACGCCAGGUAAAGAAAAAUUUUACGGUAUCAGGCAAUAAAGAGUAAAUGAACUUGCUGUUUUAAAACUGAAAUUCAUAAUUAUACUUUCGACGCAAGAAAGAAAAUAUGAAACGAAAACGUUCAACGAAAAUUUUGCCAAGAAAGUUCGAACCUGCCGUUUGCCGUUCCCUGACACGCGAAGCUUAAACUCGCUAAUAUCAUACACACGAAAACGAGGCUCUAUAGCCAAGAUGAAAUACUUUCCGGAAGG
Molecule: non-coding RNA, 270 nt
Organism: Paramuricea clavata
Lineage: Eukaryota; Metazoa; Cnidaria; Anthozoa; Malacalcyonacea; Plexauridae
Source: the annotation of a GenBank genome assembly